RNAcentral lists this transfer RNA (67 nucleotides) under Marmota monax (woodchuck). Its description in RNAcentral is "tRNA.Ala". It matches the Rfam family "tRNA". Rfam says of the family: Transfer RNA (tRNA) molecules are approximately 80 nucleotides in length. Lineage: Eukaryota; Metazoa; Chordata; Mammalia; Rodentia; Sciuridae. The record is from RNAcentral.
GGUUGUGGCUCAGUGGUAGAGCGCUUGCCUAGCACACAUGAGGCGUUGGGUUCGAUCCUCAGCACCA